AUUGAACGCUGGCGACAGGCCUAACACAUGCAAGUCGGACGGUAGCACAGAGAGCUUGCUCUUGGGUGACGAGUGGCGGACGGGUGAGUAAUGUCUGGGGAUCUGCCCGAUAGAGGGGGGUAACCACUGGAAACGGUGGCUAAUACCGCAUAACGUCGCAAGACCAAAGAGGGGGACCUUCGGGCCUCUCACUAUCGGAUGAACCCAGAUGGGAUUAGCUAGUAGGCGGGGUAAUGGCCCACCUAGGCGACGAUCCCUAGCUGGUCUGAGAGGAUGACCAGCCACACUGGAACUGAGACACGGUCCAGACUCCUACGGGAGGCAGCAGUGGGGAAUAUUGCACAAUGGGCGCAAGCCUGAUGCAGCCAUGCCGCGUGUAUGAAGAAGGCCUUCGGGUUGUAAAGUACUUUCAGCGGGGAGGAAGGCGGUGAGGUUAAUAACCUUGCCGAUUGACGUUACCCGCAGAAGAAGCACCGGCUAACUCCGUGCCAGCAGCCGCCGUAA
Molecule: ribosomal RNA, 504 nt
Filed under: uncultured bacterium
Lineage: Bacteria
Description: partial 16S ribosomal RNA
Rfam family: Bacterial small subunit ribosomal RNA
Source: RNAcentral